GAUGAACGCUGGCGGCGUGCCUAAUACAUGCAAGUCGAGCGAACAGACGAGAUUGCUUGCACUCUCUGACGUUAGCGGCGGAUGGGUGAGUAACACGUGGGUAACCUACCUAUAAGACUGGGAUAACUUCGGGAAACCAGCGCUAAUACCGGAUAAUAUUUAGCUUCGCAUGAAGCAAUAGUGAAAGACGUUUCUGCUGUCACUUAUAGAUGGACCCGCGGUGUAUUAGCUAGUUGGUGAGGUAACGGCUCACCAAGGCCACGAUACAUAGCCGACCUGAGAGGGUGAUCGGCCACACUGGGACUGAGACACGGCCCAGACUCCUACGGGAGGCAGCAGUAGGGAAUCUUCCGCAAAGGGCGAAAGUCUGACGGAGCAAUGCCGCGUGAGUGAAGAAGGUUUUCGGAUCGUAAAACUCUGUUGUAAGGGAAGAACAAGUACGUGAGUAACUGAACGUACCUUGACGGUACCUUACCAGAAAGCCACGGCUAACUACGUG
This 499-nucleotide ribosomal RNA is filed under the name uncultured bacterium. RNAcentral describes it as "partial 16S ribosomal RNA". It matches the Rfam family "Bacterial small subunit ribosomal RNA", at positions 28 to 507 of the family's 1533-position model. The record is from RNAcentral.